Molecule: non-coding RNA, 139 nt
Organism: Xylaria nigripes
Lineage: Eukaryota; Fungi; Ascomycota; Sordariomycetes; Xylariales; Xylariaceae
Source: the annotation of a GenBank genome assembly
GCCCGGUUAGCUCAAUCGGUAGAGCGUGAGACUCUUAAUCUCAAGGUUGCGGGUAAGUUGCAAAUUCGCAGUCCACAACUUCGAACAAGGCAAAAAAACAUGCUAACAAUUCAAACAGGUUCGACCCCCGCAUCGGGCU